UCCAAAAUAGGUUGUCUUGAAAAAUGGGAUGAUGAAAAGACAAUUCAAUACAUCCUGAUCUCACCUCUCUAAAUUUUAAGAGAGACUAUUUGAGCCAACUUUUUAAAAACAAGAAUGUGAUAGCACCUUGACUUGAGACCCCCAUUAGAAUUAUAGUGUAUAGUAGUGACAUAUCCUAUAGUAGUGACAUAUCCUAAAAGCUAUGGAUAAUGAGGAUGGCAUGACUUAAAUUACUCACAAUUUCGUUCAGGUUGAAAAUCAAUUUGAUGUUUAGCAAAAUAAUCUCUCUAAAGGGGUGAAUAAUGCAAACCAAUGAAGGUCAUAGACACCUAUGUAUAGAGAUAGAUACUGCCAUCAUUCAAGCACUGUUCUUGGAAGAAUUCAGCUAAAUUAGUAAUUAUGGCACUUCUGGAUUUCUGAAAAAAUUUAAUCUCUGGAUUACUCUGGAAACACAGGUAUAAUUUCAAAUUAGCUUUUCAUUACUUUGCAAACUUAGUUUUUCAUUAAGUUGAACACUUAAAAACUUGUACCGUAAGUUUACUUCUGUUUAAAAGGAAUGAGUAUGGGAGUUUUAUGCCCUAUUUUGGACU
RNAcentral lists this long non-coding RNA (590 nucleotides) under Homo sapiens (human). RNAcentral describes it as "HSALNT0252200". The record is from RNAcentral. Lineage: Eukaryota; Metazoa; Chordata; Mammalia; Primates; Hominidae.